UUUUCAUAAUAAUAAUGGGUGAUCCUUCUGGAGUAUUAAUUAAUGCAAACGCAAUGGCCAACCUCUCACUGUGAUAUUUGAGUGAUUCUAUUUUCAUUUCUUCAUCCACAUUUUGAAGGGUACAACUUGUAUCAGGUUUGUGUCCUUCCUUGUCCAUUAGCUCAACCAAUGAGUUAAUUUUUCUUCUAAUCUGCUCAGUUUGUGGAUGGGUCCUAUCGUUUGCAGUGAAUACAUGAACUCUGUGGUCAAUCUCAACCCAGCUAUAGGCAGUGACCUUUUUAACUCCCCGUUCCCUCAUAGCCUUCUUGACUUUUG
Molecule: unclassified non-coding RNA, 315 nt
Filed under: Hevea brasiliensis (rubber tree)
Lineage: Eukaryota; Viridiplantae; Streptophyta; Magnoliopsida; Malpighiales; Euphorbiaceae
Source: RNAcentral